GACGAACGCUGGCGGCGUGCUUAACACAUGCAAGUCGAACGAUGAAGCUGGAGCUUGCUCCGGUGGAUUAGUGGCGAACGGGUGAGUAACACGUGAGCAAUCUGCCCUUGACUCUGGGAUAACUGCGGGAAACUGUAGCUAAUACCGGAUAUGAGAUCUGAAGGCAUCUUCGGGUUUGGAAAGAAUUUCGGUCAAGGAUGAGCUCGCGGCCUAUCAGCUAGUUGGUGAGGUAAUGGCUCACCAAGGCGACGACGGGUAGCCGGCCUGAGAGGGUGACCGGCCACACUGGAACUGAGACACGGCCCAGACUCCUACGGGAGGCAGCAGUGAGGAAUAUUGGACAAUGGAGGAAACUCUGAUCCAGCCAUGCCGCGUGAGUGAAGAAGGCCUUCGGGUUGUAAAGCUCUUUUACCCCUGACGAUAAUGACGGUAAGGGGAGAAAAAGCCACGGCUAACUUCGUGCCAGCCGCCGCCGUAA
RNAcentral lists this ribosomal RNA (478 nucleotides) under uncultured bacterium. Its description in RNAcentral is "partial 16S ribosomal RNA". It matches the Rfam family "Bacterial small subunit ribosomal RNA", at positions 28 to 523 of the family's 1533-position model. The record is from RNAcentral.